RNAcentral lists this ribosomal RNA (419 nucleotides) under uncultured ammonia-oxidizing beta proteobacterium. RNAcentral describes it as "bacterial SSU rRNA". It matches the Rfam family "Bacterial small subunit ribosomal RNA", at positions 197 to 597 of the family's 1533-position model. The record is from RNAcentral. Lineage: Bacteria; Pseudomonadati; Pseudomonadota; Betaproteobacteria.
UGGAGAAAAGCAGGGGAUCGUAAGACCUUGCGCUUUUGGAGCGGCCGAUGUCUGAUUAGCUAGUUGGUGGGGUAAUGGCCUACCAAAGCUUCGAUCAGUAGCUGGUCUGAGAGGACGGCCAGCCACACUGGGACUGAGACACGGCCCAGACUCCUACGGGAGGCAGCAGUGGGGAAUUUUGGACAAUGGGCGCAAGCCUGAUCCAGCCAUGCCGCGUGAGUGAAGAAGGCCUUCGGGUUGUAAAGCUCUUUCAGCCGGGAAGAAAAGGCUGCGACUAAUAAUCGCAGUUCAUGACGGUACCGGAAGAAGAAGCACCGGCUAACUACGUGCCAGCAGCCGCGGUAAUACGUAGGGUGCGAGCGUUAAUCGGAAUUACUGGGCGUAAAGGGUGCGCAGGCGGUUUUGUAAGUCAGAUGUGA